RNAcentral lists this ribosomal RNA (253 nucleotides) under uncultured bacterium. RNAcentral describes it as "partial 16S ribosomal RNA". It matches the Rfam family "Bacterial small subunit ribosomal RNA", at positions 524 to 776 of the family's 1533-position model. The record is from RNAcentral.
UACGUAGGGGGCAAGCGUUGUCCGGAUUCAUUGGGCGUAAAGAGCGUGUAGGCGGCCAGGUAGGUCGGUUGUGAAAACUGGAGGCUCAACCUUCAGAGGUCGACCGAAACCAUCUGGCUAGAGUCCGGGAGAGGCGAGUGGAAUUCCUGGUGUAGCGGUGAAAUGCGCAGAUAUCAGGAGGAACACCAAUUGCGAAGGCAGCUCGCUGGGACGUGACUGACGCUGAGACGCGAAAGCGUGGGGAGCAAACAGG